Salvia splendens (bonfire salvia) is the source of this 1173-nucleotide long non-coding RNA. RefSeq lists it as uncharacterized. The record is from RefSeq and is a predicted model, not a curated record. The transcript has 3 exons. Lineage: Eukaryota; Viridiplantae; Streptophyta; Magnoliopsida; Lamiales; Lamiaceae.
CGUCUGUGGGUGUGUGUUUAGGUGUAGGUGCAUGUAUAUGUGGUUAGGUUUGUGUGUUUGUGUGUGUGAUAGAUAGUGCAAUUUUAUUAUUAUUUGAAAUUUGAAAUUCCAAUUAUCUACUUUUCAUAUAGAAUUAAAUUGUGGAAUUGGGAGGAAUUGGAAUUGUAAUUCAAUUCCAAAUCCAUAACAUUUUGCGGUACCGAACAUUGGAUUUGGAAUUGGAGUCUCCAAUUCCAAUUCCGGAUGCCCAAUUCCAUGAUACCGAACGGAGCCGUAGUGUUUUCUAAUUAUAAAAUAUAUGAGGAGGUUAUUGCUGAUUUUUUUUAAAGUUGUGUUUGUUGUGUCGAUAUUAGCACAAGAACCUCUUCCUCUCUCCAGGCAAGUUCCCACUCAGGACAAAAGAAGGUAAGGAUUAAGAAAAUAUCGAAGUUCUUGAAUUUCAGUGGUCAUUCUUCUUUGAUGUUCUGCUGAAACAUAAAUUGAUGCAGUUUAGACAUAUUGCCUGCUGGUAUUAUGGUCAUAAAUUCCUACCUGAAUUGGAUCACUGGAUGUGGUAGUCAUUCGACUCUCUUUACGACUUCUAAAUUUAUAGGAACUGGAAUUGUUUGAAACCUUACAUGGCUUCUUCAUUCAGGAAACACAAUGAGCUCAAGAGGUUGGUAAAUAUGAGAGCAUACUGGAAGUCGAGUCUCAUAUUUCUGCUUUUGGCUUCAUGAACCUGUGAUAGAAAUUGGGAUGCUGUUAUCUGCUAGAAGAAGAUCCACGAUUUCAUUUACAGGUGCAAGAAAGGAUCGACUAUAUUGCAAGGUAUGGUGCAGUUCUUCCGGUAUGGAAGGGCUAGGGCGAGGAACAAGAAGCAGUUGAAAACAGAGAACUCAUUUUCAUAUCUACUGGAAUUGUAGAUUUAUAACCACAUAUAUUUAUGUGCAUAUCUCAUUACUGUUUGCAAGGUUCUUCAUGAGAUUCUCCUCUGGCUUUUGAGAAUUAAAGAAUUUAGUCUGCCAUUGAGGUCUGUGCGCUUUUACUGGAUUGUUCAAAUCAUCCGACUGUUGAUUGGAUCAGGCCCUUUUCAUUUCUCGAUUUGGUUUACCUAAUUGUGUCAAUUUGUAUUGGUUACUUGUUGUAGAUUUAGUUAAACUGACAAAUCACAAUGCAGUCUUUGCUUUCUUUCUA